This is a long non-coding RNA of Paramisgurnus dabryanus, 310 nucleotides long. RefSeq lists it as uncharacterized. NCBI's taxonomy places the organism in Eukaryota, Metazoa, Chordata, Actinopteri, Cypriniformes, Cobitidae. The record is from RefSeq and is a predicted model, not a curated record.
CCCGACUCGGCCACCAGCGUGUAACUGCUGUCCUCAGCUCGCCCUCGACCUCUGGCCUGCAGAGAGGAAAACAUCACAACAUCUCAGUGUUGUUGCAGCUGGUCGAGUCUGUGCUCCACCUCUCCAUAUGUGAUGUCACAGUCCAGGUCAUCAUCUUCUGUCCCACCCUGCUCCUGUGUACUUUUGUCCAUGUGCUGUUUGGGUCUUUCUGCUAACCAGUCAGGGGUUAAAGGUCAGCUCCAAAUUGGUUAGGAAAUGGUCGGCAAACUCCGGAUACAUGUCCAGUACCUCCAGCAGCUCUUCCCGUUGG